This 396-nucleotide ribosomal RNA is filed under the name Triticum aestivum (bread wheat). Its description in RNAcentral is "partial small subunit ribosomal RNA". The record is from RNAcentral. Lineage: Eukaryota; Viridiplantae; Streptophyta; Magnoliopsida; Poales; Poaceae.
AUGGCGCCGUCGCACAGGCAGGGAGGAGACCGGCUGAGCGCUCUCCCCGACACGGCGCUGGAGCGCGUCCUCUCCCACCUCGAGUCCGACGAGGCCGUGCGCACCAGCGGGCUCGCACGCAGAUGGCGGCGCGUGCACGAGGGCGUCCCCGUCGUCCACCUCGUCGACACCAAGACCGGCGAACGGAGCCGCGGCUUCGGCGAGCUCAAGGUCUGCUACGACCACCAAGUGACGAGCGCGAUCAUGGGCAAGGGCUCGGAGACACCGAUCCGCGUGCUGCGCCUCGACGCCUUCUACCCCCCGUACAACCUGCUCGACCAGUGGAUCGUCAUCGCCGUGAACUCCGGCGUCGAGGACCUCGACGUCGAGCUCAGAAGGCAGCUAAUUCUAGAGUAA